RNAcentral lists this long non-coding RNA (4059 nucleotides) under Nicotiana benthamiana. Its description in RNAcentral is "long non-coding RNA (NBEN_LNC036397)". Lineage: Eukaryota; Viridiplantae; Streptophyta; Magnoliopsida; Solanales; Solanaceae. The record is from RNAcentral.
AUCACAAAAUAGUUUUUGAAGUAAUUUUAGACGCUAAUUAGUUUAGUUUGAUGUUUAUUUUCAUUUCUGCAACCUUUAUAAAUUCACACAAAAUUAUAAAAAUUACAAAAAUAGAAAAAGGAAAUAAAAAGAAAUCAAAAGAAAAUCUAAUAAAAAAGAGUUGGUCUUGCAAAGGCAAAUUUUGGGCUGAUUUUUGAAAUUAAAAUUGCUUGGCCCAAAAUAAAUUCCCGCUCCAGCCCAGUGCCCGGUCCGUUUGUGAAAACCAAACGACAUCAUUCCGUGAUGUUUAAUCUGGACCUUCGUGGUUGAUUGAUCAGACGGUCCAGAAGCCCCCAUCUCUUAGUAUAAGAAUGUACGAACACCCCCACCCACCCCACCAUCGUAUUCUUCACACGAUCCUCCUCUCGGAAAACCCUAGAGACGCCGCCUCAAAUUCGCAAGCCGCCGGUGGCGGCGCCACCUCCAAACUCAACCAAAAAUACGCCCUGAAAUCCCCUUAGGCUCCUCAUACCAAAUACCCAAUUCAUUUCCCUCGAAUCUCUGUCAGUUCGGUCGAAUCUUAAAUUAAAAUUUCCAGUCAAAUCCCAAAUCUAUCCAAAUGCCCCCAAAUCGAUACAAGGAGAUCACUUCGCCCUUUUCUUCACAAAUAUGUGGUUGUUUCCCCUCGAAUCUCACCAGGCUGCCCUCAACCCCCCAUCUAGGGUUCAUGCCUUCCGGGCUGUUCAAGAUUUUUUGAAGUCGAGUGAGUCCCGAUUAAUAUUACAGGUCUAUGAUUGACAACAUAUGCGUAUAAUAGUAACCGGGAUUCAAUUUCAAAUAGAUUUCUUCAAAGUCAGAAUUUCAGUAAGCUUUCGUCUCAUUUCCUUUAAGUUCUGUUUGAUUCAUACUUUAUCUGUUUAAUUAGCUGUAGUUUUAAUUUCCUAAUCAUUCUAAUUGGUAGUUUGAUUCUGAUACAAGUAUGUCCGUUAAUUAGGUUAACUCUUAGACUUUCCAUUUUGUUUUUAGCUUUGAUUUGGUUUAAUUUAAGUGUUCAAUUGUCAAUUUAUUUGUUAGGUGAUAGGUUGAUUUCAAUUAGUUCCAGUUAUUUAUCUAGUUGAAUUUCCUUUUGGUUCGCAUUGAUUCAGUUGACUUUAGCAUUUCUAAUAAGUAAUUAGUUCUACAUUUGUGAUCUUUGCUUAAAUGUUGUUUAAGUGUGAGUUUUAAUUGUUUUAACUAGUUUGUUAGUUUAAGCAAAAUAGUUAUAGUUGUUGGUUUUGUUAGGAUAAAAGAAGAGGCUGAUUUGGAGUAGUUUAAGAUAAAGUAGGGAUAAUUGAGAAAGUCAGGGGUACGGUAGACAUUUAGGAGUGCACAAGUAUUGUGAGCUAGAAUAUUCUAGGACCUUCUAGAAUGGGGUAUAAGUAUAGGUUUCAGCAAUUUAGAUGUACUUAUUUGAAUAACAAGUCAAUAAAUAGGGGCAAGAUACGGAAUACAAGGAUAAGUGAUCUUUUAAAUUUUGAAUAGUGUCCCCUAGGAGAUUCUAGAUGGGGUUAACUUUAGAAUUCUAUAAAGUUUGGUAGUAUAACUUGGGAAACAAGUCAGUUUUUUAGGAAUACUUAAGCAAAAACGAAAAUUAGCAAAGGAUGUAAGGCAAAACUGAAAUCUGAGGGUUGCCCCUUAUUUUGGCCUAUAUAAGGCACAUUUUAGUGCCUUAAUCAACAAGUUUUGGGAGCCUCACAAAAUUCCCUCCCAUCUUCUAUAAGCUUCAGAUCUGAAAUGUGAGAAAAACUCCAAGUCUUCAAAAAUCAAAAAACAACAAAAACUCUUCAACAAAAACCAAAAAGUGUAAUGUUCCUUUGAAUACCUCAGGCUAAUUUCAACUUUCAAUUAGUAAUUACCACUUUCUAGUUCAGUAUUUGGUGGUUGAGGCUUCAGGUGGCCACUGGCUCAAUUUCGAGAGGUUUGGGGCUAGUUAGGUUGGUUUUGAUUGAGUUUUGGAUCCAUGGAAGUGUGUUGCUGCCUUUUGAGUAUAACUGAAUGCAUUUCAAGUUUUUUUGGGUUUAAUCUACUGGUUCCCGUUUGAGUUUGAACCUUCAUGGGCUUCUGGCUUUAUUCCUUGGGUUGUUCGUUCAUUCUGAGUUGCUGGGAAUUGCAUACUGGUAUUGUUGUUCGAAUUACUGUUGUAGCUGACUUCUCCUACUUCAUUUUAUUCCAAUUCCAGGUACACAGCUUUGACUUGGAUAGUUGUGAGCUGAAAAAUGAAAGGAUUGAAGCAUGAAAACUGAAUUACUUCAAUUUUGUAACUGUUUGUUCAACAUUCAAUUUAUUGAUGUGGAUUAAAUUUCUGUUUAUGAUAUACUAAGUGGACUGGUAAACUGCUGAGUGUGAAUAUAUUUAGCUGAAUCAUUAGAUGAGUAUUUGUGUAUUUAGAAAUGGACAGAAAUUUUAGUCGUUGAGAGCAAUUUUGAUUAAUUGGAAGAAGUUCAUGUUAGCUUUAGUUAAAUUCAUUCUCAAAUCUGUUUUAAGAAGAGUUUAUGCAAUGAGAUGAAAUUUCCAGCAGCAUUUGUAUUAUAGAUCGCAAUCAUAGGUGACAGGUUGGUUUGAUUGGUGAAUUUAAAUCAAGUCCCAGCGUAUUAAUUUUCAAAUUGGAAGAGUAGCGUUCAAAUAGCAAUAGACUUCCUGAAUCAACAGUUUGUUUUGCUAGAAAAAGUAUUGAAUUGGGCCUGUGUUGAACGCUAAUUUGUUAAUGCAGAAAGAUAGUUGAAAAGCAAUUAGAUAACUUGACAAAAAGGUAUUUGAUAAAUCAGUUUGUGAUCAAACUCAAAUGGGAUGCCUCAUAAUUUCGUUCGCCAGCUGGGAUUCGAACCCAAGUCCUUGGCUAGAGGCGGGUUUGUUGUUACUCUUAGGCCUUUGUUUUCUAAUUGGUCCAAUUUUGGCCCAUGUGGUCUAUAAUCUUGGGGCUUCUUUCAAAGAUACAAUUCAAGGGUUAAAUAGCAUGAAUUCGAAUUUUGAGUUAGGUAGCGGGUAUUAAACUAAAAGUUUCGACCUUUUGUUUGGAUCCGGACUUGAACUUGAAGCCCAAGCUUUAAUAAUAAUCUAGUUAGGAACUUUUCUUUUCUUUUAGAGACAAAAACACAAAAAUAGAAAAAUCGUAGUCGCUUUUUAGGCUUGCCUUUUAAAAUAAAACGAGAUGAGCCUCGCCCAAUAAAAGUGCAAAAUUGUGGGGCUCUCAAUAAAGGUUUAAAAAUAUUAAGAAAAUCGGGAAGGGUUAUUUAGCGAAUUUCACGGCCCUCCCAAAAGAUAAUGACGCGCUAGACUCUAUUUGGCGCGGCUUUAAUAAAUUACAUUCCUAAAUACGGAUGGGCAUUUUAUGUGGCCCAAAUCCAAAUCCUAAAACGUUGGAUAGAGUGUGUCGAGGGUUGCGAGUUCAUUUGAUACGGUGCAAUCCGUUCACUUUCUCUUAAAUAAAUAUUCUAUUAAAUAAAAGCGGUAAAAAGUAAAAUUGGCACAUAGGUUCUUCAUGUAAUAAAAUCAAAUAAAAGCUAAGUGCAACAGUUGAGCACCGUGCUAGAACCACGCAACCCGGGAAUGCCCAACACCUUCUCCUGGAUUAAUAGAAUUCCUUAUCCGGAUUUCUAGUUCGCGGACUAUGAACAGAGUCGUCUUUUUCCUCGGUUCGAGAUUCAAUCGGUGACUUGGGACACCAUUAAUCUGCCAAGUGGCGACUCUGAAUAAUUAAUAACCUAAUCUCGUUCCGAUUGUCCUUUAAGUGGAAAAACUCCUUCACGCCCCUUUGCGGGGGUGUAUAGCGAAAAAGGAGGUGUGACAUAUAUAUAUAGGUGUGUGUGUGUGUGUGUAUAUAUACCGAGCCUUAUAAGGCCGGAUAGCUAUUUUACUUUCCAUAUUGAGAGAGUAGAGUCAGUAUCAGCCGGUAAGCAUAUCCUCAGAUUAUCUUUGACUUCCAGCUACUUAUAGUUAUUAUAUUAUCAGUUCUGUUUCAGCUUUCAGUAUAUUGCCUUACAUAGUCGGUACAUUAUUUCGUACUGACGUCCCUGUUCUGGGGGCUGCAUUUUAUGCGUGCAG